GGUGGAGCGAUUUGUCUGGUUAAUUCCGAUAACGAACGAGACUCUAGCCUACUAAAUAGUGAGUGGAUCGCCUCGUCCACUUCCACUUCUUAGAGGGACAAACGGCGCUUAGCCGUACGAAAUUGAGCAAUAACAGGUCUGUGAUGCCCUUAGAUGUCCGGGGCUGCACGCGCGCUACACUGAAGGAAUCAGCGUGCAUACUAACUAGGUCCGAAAGGACCGGGUAACCCAAUCAAACUCCUUCGUGAUUGGGAUAGGGACUUGCAAUUAUUUCCCUUGAACGAGGAAUUCCCAGUAAGUGCGGGUCAUAAGCUCGCGUUGAAUACGUCCCUGCCCUUUGUAC
This 343-nucleotide ribosomal RNA is filed under the name Nematoda environmental sample. Its description in RNAcentral is "SSU rRNA". It matches the Rfam family "Eukaryotic small subunit ribosomal RNA", at positions 1300 to 1665 of the family's 1831-position model. The record is from RNAcentral. Lineage: Eukaryota; Metazoa; Nematoda.